GGGUGCGAUCAUACCAGCAUUAAUGCACCGGAUCCCAUCAGAAUUUCGCAGUUAAGCGUGCUUGGGCGAGAGUAGUACUAGGAUGGGUGACCUCACAGAAAGUCCUCGUUUUACGCCCU
RNAcentral lists this ribosomal RNA (119 nucleotides) under Beta vulgaris subsp. vulgaris (sugar beet). The record is from RNAcentral. Lineage: Eukaryota; Viridiplantae; Streptophyta; Magnoliopsida; Caryophyllales; Amaranthaceae.